ACAAUUGUGGCUGAGUGGUUAAAGCGAUGGACUAGAAAUUCAAUGGGGUCUCCCCGCACAGGUUCGAAUCCUGUCGACUGCG
Molecule: transfer RNA, 82 nt
Filed under: Ixodes scapularis (black-legged tick)
Lineage: Eukaryota; Metazoa; Arthropoda; Arachnida; Ixodida; Ixodidae
Rfam family: tRNA
About the family: Transfer RNA (tRNA) molecules are approximately 80 nucleotides in length. Their secondary structure includes four short double-helical elements and three loops (D, anti-codon, and T loops). Further hydrogen bonds mediate the characteristic L-shaped molecular structure. tRNAs have two regions of fundamental functional importance: the anti-codon, which is responsible for specific mRNA codon recognition, and the 3' end, to which the tRNAs corresponding amino acid is attached (by aminoacyl-tRNA synthetases). tRNAs cope with the degeneracy of the genetic code in two manners: having more than one tRNA (with a specific anti-codon) for a particular amino acid; and 'wobble' base-pairing, i.e. permitting non-standard base-pairing at the 3rd anti-codon position.
Source: Rfam by way of RNAcentral